This 91-nucleotide small nuclear RNA is filed under the name Castor canadensis (American beaver). Lineage: Eukaryota; Metazoa; Chordata; Mammalia; Rodentia; Castoridae. The record is from RNAcentral.
UUGCUUUGGCAGCACACAUACUGAAAUUAGAACAGCACAGAGAAGAUAAGCACAGUCCCUAUGCAAGGAUGACACAAAAAUUCAUAUUUUU